AUUGAACGCUGGCGGCAUGCCUUACACAUGCAAGUCGAACGGCAGCACGGGUGCUUGCCCCUGGUGGCGAGUGGCGAACGGGUGAGUAAUACAUCGGAACAUGUCCUGUAGUGGGGGAUAGCCCGGCGAAAGCCGGAUUAAUACCGCAUACGAUCUACGGAUGAAAGCGGGGGACCUUCGGGCCUCGCGCUAUAGGGUUGGCCGAUGGCUGAUUAGCUAGUUGGUGGGGUAAAGGCCUACCAAGGCGACGAUCAGUAGCUGGUCUGAGAGGACGACCAGCCACACUGGGACUGAGACACGGCCCAGACUCCUACGGGAGGCAGCAGUGGGGAAUUUUGGACAAUGGGCGAAAGCCUGAUCCAGCAAUGCCGCGUGUGUGAAGAAGGCCUUCGGGUUGUAAAGCACUUUUGUCCGGAAAGAAAUCCUUGGCCCUAAUACGGUCGGGGAUGACGGUACCGGAAGAAUAAGCACCGGCUAACUACGUG
This 485-nucleotide ribosomal RNA is filed under the name uncultured bacterium. RNAcentral describes it as "partial 16S ribosomal RNA". It matches the Rfam family "Bacterial small subunit ribosomal RNA", at positions 30 to 507 of the family's 1533-position model. The record is from RNAcentral.